UAGUCAAUUGAUUAACUUACUUAUCUGAAUGUGUUUUCACAGAAAUUUAGAAACAGCUGGUAAUAGUGAUGCGAUUUUAUGAGCCUUAAGGACAACAGAGGUCAUUACCAUCCCUCAAAAUGGCUAGAAAU
RNAcentral lists this small nucleolar RNA (131 nucleotides) under Jaculus jaculus (lesser Egyptian jerboa). Its description in RNAcentral is "Small nucleolar RNA SNORA33 (ENSJJAG00000007422.1)". The record is from RNAcentral. Lineage: Eukaryota; Metazoa; Chordata; Mammalia; Rodentia; Dipodidae.